RNAcentral lists this transfer RNA (74 nucleotides) under Candidatus Bathyarchaeota archaeon. Its description in RNAcentral is "tRNA-Val". It matches the Rfam family "tRNA". From Rfam's summary of the family: Transfer RNA (tRNA) molecules are approximately 80 nucleotides in length. Their secondary structure includes four short double-helical elements and three loops (D, anti-codon, and T loops). Lineage: Archaea; Thermoproteati; Candidatus Bathyarchaeota. The record is from RNAcentral.
GGGCCGGUCGUCUAGUCUGGUAGGAUACCACCCUUACGAGGUGGUGGUCGUCGGUUCAAAUCCGACCCGGCCCA